This 1849-nucleotide long non-coding RNA is filed under the name Androctonus crassicauda. The record is from RNAcentral. Lineage: Eukaryota; Metazoa; Arthropoda; Arachnida; Scorpiones; Buthidae.
AGUGAGAGACAUGGGAUGGAGUUGGCCUACGCCGGAAGAGACCACCACCGACAGCCAAGGUAAGUUAGGUUGGACCCGACCCAAUUUCUUAACGGUCAGUGAAUCCAAUUUUCUAUAUCUGUGUUUAUACAUCGACGGAUCGGUGAUGGUUCGAAACGGUAAUUUUCGUAAUUAUGGUGCCAGAGAAGAAUACUCGACCGCCCGUAGACAGACAGAACACGGAAUUUCUCCAUAUUAAUUACGAUCAGAGUAACCACCGAGUUUCUCCUCCACCUACUUAUUAAUGGUGAUUAAAGCUAACCGCUUAUUUUUCUAUCUCAAAUAAUCUCGAAUCUAGUUCCGUGUUUUUAAAUCAACUGGAAUCUAGUACCUAUCUAGUAAAAUGAUUUAAUUAUUGAACCCAACGAUAUUUAGCUGCCGAAAGCAUAGACCUAUGGGUUUCCGUACGGUCGAGCAAAACCUCUCUCUAUCACCAUUAAGUGAUAAAAUGGAAGCAUACCGGUAAAUAUUUUCGAAGCGGCUUUCUAUCUAGUAAUUAACCAGUUUCGAACCAUACACCUAUCCGAUUUUUAUAUCACCGUAAAAUAUACAUUUAGAAAAAUAUCUGUGUAAUGGAAUGAAGGUACCACGUUCAGAAGAGAGAAAAAUGGCGUUAGUUACGAAUAGCGUAGUUUGAUUAGACUGUGUACCGUAGUUUACCAUUGGCGGCCAUAAAAUAGGUCGACCGAAUCUGGAAGUCGGACGCAUUAAUUAUAUCUUUCAUUAAUCAAACGGGUUAAUUGACGGUCACCGACCGACCUAUUGGGUGCCUGCUGGAUUCGGAAAAGUUGCCCCCCUUUUUAAACUGACUAAUUGAAAUAGAUGAUAAAUAGCGGAUCUAUAGUAAGCGCUCGGCUUAUUAAUCGUCUCCCUCGGCUAUGAAUAACCGAAAAAAUAAAUAAGAGACGGGUGAAUAAAUAUACAACGGGCGCGUUUCGUUUCCCAUGCGUCGUCUCGUUAAUUACGCUCUUCCUUAUAACGCUGUUGGUCGAACCGCGCUUAAUGAAGAUAUUUAAUCGGUUAAAUAAAGUAUUGGAAUUUUUGAUAGAGAUUUUCCUGACUCGACCGAUGGAACAAGUCGGUGCGGAAUUCUCGUUAUUUUUUUUUUUGCCCACGCUUUUCUACCAGUAUUUUUCUAUCAUUUGUGCGGAGGUAACCGGUCAUGUGUACUUUAGAUGGAAGAUAUAGCCUUCCACUUAGAGAAAAUGGUAGGUGUUUAAUUUUUAAAGCUCCGGCCGACGACAAAAGAAUGCCGACCGAUUGUUCGAAACUGGUAAAAAUGACGCUUACCGAGGAGUUCUUAACAACGCCAUCACCGAAAAUUAGCCACGCACAUCCUCCGAAGUACCGCCCAUCGGCUCAUUACAGUUAGAACAAUAGUCGAAAACCGGAGAUAAAAAAGAGGAAUGCCUAGGCCAAUUCCAGACACAGAUAAAAAUUUCCUGCUCGCAUUCGUAUCGGACUACACACACACAUACUUUAUCUAACAACUAUUAGUCUGCCAAACGGAACAAUGUCGUGACACCCGAGAAGCCGGUUCAAAGGUAGUCGACCCAUCCGGCUAGAGUGAGAACACGGGUCCGUGUCCUUACAUACAUUAGUUGGGUGGAUUCGUGACCGACCUCGCCGAGAGAUAAGACACAGCGGGGCCGUUUGUUUAGUCGGAAUAGCCCGAAAACUAGACGAACAGCGAGAGAAAAAUGUAACCGUGUCGGCCACCUGUUUCUGGUGGCGUUCCAUACACUAAAUUUUGUACCAUCGUAAUGGUGGCCAUUUUGAAACCGAUCGGAUCUAGCCAAUAACCGGGUCA